UACAGAGGGUGCGAGCGUUGUUCGGAAUUAUUGGGCGUAAAGCGCGUGUAGGCGGCCAACUAAGUCGGGUGUGAAAGCCCUCAGCUCAACUGAGGAAGUGCGCCCGAGACUGGAUGGCUUGAGUGCUGGAGAGGGUGGCGGAAUUCCCCAAGUAGAGGUGAAAUUCGUAGAGAUGGGGAGGAACACCGGAGGCGAAGGCGGCCACCUGGACAGUAACUGACGCUGAGACGCGAAAGCGUGGGGAGCAAAC
This 250-nucleotide ribosomal RNA is filed under the name uncultured delta proteobacterium. Its description in RNAcentral is "partial 16S ribosomal RNA". It matches the Rfam family "Bacterial small subunit ribosomal RNA", at positions 524 to 773 of the family's 1533-position model. The record is from RNAcentral. Lineage: Bacteria; Deltaproteobacteria.